UACAGAGGUGGCAAGCGUUGUUCGGAAUUACUGGGCGUAAAGGGCGCGUAGGCGGCCUUCUAAGUCAGACGUGAAAUCCCCCGGCUUAACCUGGGAACUGCGUCUGAUACUGGGAGGCUAGAGUAUGGGAGAGGGAUGUAGAAUUCCAGGUGUAGCGGUGAAAUGCGUAGAUAUCUGGAGGAAUACCGGUGGCGAAGGCGGCAUCCUGGACCAUAACUGACGCUGAUGCACGAAAGCUAGGGGAGCAAACAGG
This 253-nucleotide ribosomal RNA is filed under the name uncultured bacterium. RNAcentral describes it as "partial 16S ribosomal RNA". It matches the Rfam family "Bacterial small subunit ribosomal RNA", at positions 524 to 776 of the family's 1533-position model. The record is from RNAcentral.